This 218-nucleotide long non-coding RNA is filed under the name Elaeis guineensis (African oil palm). Its description in RNAcentral is "long non-coding RNA (EGUI_LNC052558)". The record is from RNAcentral. Lineage: Eukaryota; Viridiplantae; Streptophyta; Magnoliopsida; Arecales; Arecaceae.
CCCUUCCUCCUCUAAUUCUUUCUCUCCUUUGGAGCAUCCAAGAGAUCAAGAGAAGAAGUAAAUUAGCCUUUGAAGAUCCUUGCAAGCUAGCACUCCCAAGGAGCCUAAUCUGCAACUGAUCUUCGUGUGGAUGAUCUGUAGAGGUCAGACACCUUUGUACAGUUAUGAACAACCUAAACGAGUACUUAUCCAUAUGAUACACCAAUAGAGAUCAAUAG